RNAcentral lists this ribosomal RNA (914 nucleotides) under uncultured fungus. RNAcentral describes it as "eukaryotic LSU rRNA". The stretch from base 266 to 914 matches the Rfam family "Eukaryotic large subunit ribosomal RNA", at positions 1 to 664 of the family's 3401-position model. The record is from RNAcentral. Lineage: Eukaryota; Fungi.
AUCGAUGAAGAACGCAGCGAAAUGCGAUAAGUAAUGUGAAUUGCAGAAUUUAGUGAAUCAUCGAAUCUUUGAACGCACAUUGCGCCCUCUGGUAUUCCGGAGGGCAUGCCUGUUCGAGCGUCAUUACAACCCUCAAGCUCUGCUUGGUAUUGGGCCGCGCCACCUGGCCGGCCCCAAAGACAGUGGUGGCGCCCCCCGGCCCUCAGCGUAGUACAUUUCUCGCUGUAGGACCCGUGGCGGUGUCGACACCCUAAACGCACAAGGUUGACCUCGGAUCAGGUAGGGAUACCCGCUGAACUUAAGCAUAUCAAUAAGCGGAGGAAAAGAAACCAACAGGGAUUGCCUCAGUAACGGCGAGUGAAGCGGCAACAGCUCAAAUUUGAAAUCUGGCUCCUUCGGGGCCCGAGUUGUAAUUUGUAGAAGAUGCUUCGGGUGUGGCUCCGGCCUAAGUUCCUUGGAACAGGACGUCAUAGAGGGUGAGAAUCCCGUAUGUGGCCGGUAGCCUACGCCCAUGUGAAGCUCUUUCGACGAGUCGAGUUGUUUGGGAAUGCAGCUCUAAAUGGGUGGUAAAUUUCAUCUAAAGCUAAAUAUUGGCCAGAGACCGAUAGCGCACAAGUAGAGUGAUCGAAAGAUGAAAAGCACUUUGGAAAGAGAGUCAAACAGUACGUGAAAUUGUUGAAAGGGAAGCGCUUGCAACCAGACUUGGGCGCUGUCGAUCACCCGGUGUUCUCACCGGUGCACUCGGCAGUGUACAGGCCAGCAUCGGUUUGGGUGGCCAGAUAAAGGUCGCGGGAAUGUGGCUCCCCCCGGGGAGUGUUAUAGCCCGUGGCGCCAUGUGGCCCACCCGGACCGAGGACCGCGCUUCGGCUAGGAUGCUGGCGUAAUGGUUGUAAGCGACCCGUCUUGAAACACGG